CUAGAAAAGGAGCUUCUAGCUAGUCGCUAUUGUUUGAGAAAAGACCAAGCAUUGGGUGGAACACUAUGAGAAGGAUCCGAAAGCUGCAAUGGCUGGACUAUUGAACAUGAUGUUUGAGGUAAUUUGAUUUUUAAAUUUGCUGUCUUUCUGAUGAACGAGGCAUUUUUUAAGCAUGGUGAGAGGGAAGCUCUGAGAUCUUGUAUAAAAGCUUUGAACUUCUGGGCUACUGAGAUUUGUUGGGAGUUACAGGACUACACCCUCAACAAAUUGAAGGGGAUUGAAGAUGAGCUCAUUGUCAACGUAUCAUUGUUCCAGAAAUAGGCAUUAGUGCAGUAUGGAGAAGUGUAGUAUUUAAGAUGGAGAAUUUCAUUAAAUGCUCCCACAGAUGUCUGCCAAGUCUUCC
RNA transcript from Solanum verrucosum, 403 nucleotides. It is a transcript of the gene named sister-chromatid cohesion protein 3-like, with no coding region annotated. The transcript is spliced from 2 exons. The record is from RefSeq and is a predicted model, not a curated record. NCBI's taxonomy places the organism in Eukaryota, Viridiplantae, Streptophyta, Magnoliopsida, Solanales, Solanaceae.